This 247-nucleotide ribosomal RNA is filed under the name uncultured bacterium. RNAcentral's name for it is "partial 16S ribosomal RNA". It matches the Rfam family "Bacterial small subunit ribosomal RNA", at positions 93 to 334 of the family's 1533-position model. The record is from RNAcentral.
UAGCGGCGAACGGGUGAGUAACACGUAAAGAACCUGCCUCAUAGACUGGGACAACUAUUGGAAACGAUAGCUAAUACCGGAUAACAGCAUUAACUGCAUGGUUGAUGUUUAAAAGUUGGUUUUGCUAACACUAUGAGAUGGCUUUGCGGUGCAUUAGCUAGUUGGUGGGGUAAAGGCCUACCAAGGCGACGAUGCAUAGCCGACCUGAGAGGGUGAUCGGCCACACUGGGACUGAGACACGGCCCAG